Molecule: long non-coding RNA, 945 nt
Filed under: Rhinopithecus bieti (black snub-nosed monkey)
Lineage: Eukaryota; Metazoa; Chordata; Mammalia; Primates; Cercopithecidae
Description: lncRNA (ENSRBIG00000046113.1)
Source: RNAcentral
GAAACAUUUUUGUUUUUCUAAACAUGAUUUCACUCUCAUUCUAUCAACAGUUCUAUUUACUCAUUAUCUUGCAGGCUUCAAGAUAUAUGCCUGAUAUUUGUGUAAUUAGAGCUAUACAAAAAAUUAUCUGGGCAUCAGGAUGUGGGUCGCUACAGCUAGUAUUUAGCCCAAAUGAAGAAAUCACUAAAAUUUAUGAGAAGACCAAUGCAGGCAAUGAGCCGGACUUGGAAGACGAACAGGUUUGCUGUGAAGCAUUGGAAGUGAUGACCUUGUGUUUUGCCUUGAUUCCAACAGCCUUAGAUGCUCUUAGUAAAGAAAAGGCUUGGCAGACAUUCAUCAUUGACUUACUGUUGCACUGUCACAGCAAAACUGUUCGUCAGGUGGCACAGGAGCAGUUCUUUUUAAUGUGCACCAGAUGUUGCAUGGGACACCGGCCUCUACUUUUCUUCAUUACUCUACUCUUUACUGUUUUGGGGAGCACAGCAAGAGAGAGAGCUAAACAUUCAGGCGACUACUUUACUCUUUUAAGACACCUUCUUAAUUAUGCUUACAAUAGUAAUAUUAAUGUACCCAAUGCUGAAGUUCUUCUCAAUAAUGAAAUUGAUUGGCUUAAAAGAAUUAGGGUAAGUUGCAGAUAAUACUCCAUUUAUAUGUCAUUAUUAAUAAAUAGAAUGUUUUAUUGAUGGUUUAUAUUUUUUGAGCAUUUUGGUUAAAUGGAAAACUCCAAAGAUUGAUAAAAGGGACCAAAGAAUAUACUCUGCAUUGGUGGACAUUAGGAACCUGCGAUUCACAAAAAUGAAUGCAUAUCUAGUUUUGUAAAAUGAAUUGCUUACUUGAGACUUGAAAUACUGAUGUUCAGCUUCUUUUAUUUUAGCAUUUUGGGCCUUUUUGCAAAUUCUCAUUUUAAAAAAAAGUAUUCUUGAAUUGUUUAUGUCAAAAAUAAGU